This 484-nucleotide ribosomal RNA is filed under the name uncultured bacterium. RNAcentral's name for it is "partial 16S ribosomal RNA". It matches the Rfam family "Bacterial small subunit ribosomal RNA", at positions 29 to 507 of the family's 1533-position model. The record is from RNAcentral.
AUUGAACGCUGGCGGAAUGCUUUACACAUGCAAGUCGAACGGCAGCACGGGGGCAGCCCUGGUGGCGAGUGGCGAACGGGUGGGUAAUACAUCGGAACGUGCCCGGUCGUGGGGGAUAACGUAGCGAAAGUUACGCUCAUACCGCAUACGAUCUGAGGAUGAAAGCGGGGGACCUUCGGGCCUCGCGCGAUCGGAGCGGCCGAUGUCGGAUUAGGUAGUUGGUGGGGUAAAGGCCUACCAAGCCGACGAUCCGUAGCUGGUCUGAGAGGACGACCAGCCACACUGGAACUGAGACACGGCCCAGACUCCUACGGGAGGCAGCAGUGGGGAAUUUUGGACAAUGGGCGCAAGCCUGAUCCAGCCAUACCGCGUGCAGGACGAAGGCCUUCGGGUUGUAAACUGCUUUUGUACGGAAAGAAAAGGAUCUGGCUAAUACCUGGGGCUCAUGACGGUACCGAAAGAAUAAGCACCGGCUAACUACGUG